AUCUCUUAUAAAAUCAUACAGGAAACAUUAUCAAACAUAAAAUGAUGUUUGACUUUCUUUAUUCUAAAAACUAAUAAAAAUAGGUGCUAAAAAUUUUCCAAAUGAAAAUAAAUAUUGCUAAACCAAAGAGAAAUGUUAUCUAAGCCCCGUAUAAAAAAUAAAUAAAUCUUGUUCCAAUUGCAUCAAAAAACCCAUUAAGGGCCCUCCAGCACAGGGUUAAUACCAACGAGUUUCCACCUCCAGCUGCUCCUAGAGUGGCCACAGCAUGAGCCAUCUGGUGGGGGACCUAGCCGCCAACAGACACUUCCUGUACAGGGGAGGGGGGAGGGGGCCAGGCAGCCGUUAGACAGCACAACCGAACCCAACACCGGGGCCCAACGGCAGGGGCUUGGGCAGGAGCAAGGUCCGAGGGCUGCCAGGUCCACGCUGCUUUUAUGAGCUGUAACACUCACCGCGAAGAUCUGCAGCUUCACUCCUGAGCCCAGCGAGACCACGAGCCCACCGGGAGGAACAAACAACUCCAGACGCGCUGCCUUAAGAGCUGUAACACUUGCCGUGAAGGUCUGCAGCUUCACUCCUGAGCCAGCGAGACCACGAACCCACCAGAAGGAAGAAACUCCGAACACAUCUCAACAUCAGAACGGACAGACUCCAGACGCACCACCUUAAGAGCUGUAACACUCACCGCGAGGUUCCGCGGCUUCAUUCUUGAAGUCAGUAAGACCAAGAACCCACCAAUUCCGGACACAGUAGCAUUUGGGAAUAAUAAGAAUUGUAGCUGGGCAUGGUGGUACACGCCUGUAGACCCCUAGCAGCUGCCAUCAUCCUCACCAUCCGCAUAUUAUUGAUAUAUUAACUCUUUGAUGGCAACCAUAGCUUAUCCCCCUUAUCUCCCUAUGCCCUACAGCAGGGCAGUGGAAUGGUUAAGAGGCUUUGAAGUCUAAGAGUGCUGGCUUAAAACCCUAAUUUGUCAUUUUGGAUGUGUGGCUUUGGACACUUGGGGCAGGUCACCUAUGUUCUUCAAGCCCUGUAUCCUUAUCUGUCAGAUGAUGAUUUUUUUUUUUUUAGACGAAGUCUCACUCUCUUGCCCGGGCUGGAGUGCAGUGGCAUGAUCUCGGCUUACUGCAAGCUCCACCUCCCGGGUUGACGCCAUUCUCCUGCCUCAGCUUCCUGAGUAGCUGGGACUACAGGCUCCUGCCACCACCCGUGGCUAAUUUUUUUGUAUUUUUAGUAGAGACAGGGUUUCACCAUGUUAGCCAGGAUGGUCUCGAUCUCCUGACCUCGUGAUCUGCCCGCCCCAGCCUCCCAAAGUAUCAGAUGAUUUUAACAACUAUGCUUCCAUGACUUGCUGGGCUAGAUGAUAUGACUGUAAAAUGCCUAACCCAUGGUUUAGCAUCAAGUAAGCAAAUUGUAAAUGGUAGCACUGCUCUGCCUAUGACUAUUUAGUCUUGUGCUUUAAACUCAAAUAUUUGUUGGCCUACUGAAGUCACCACACAGAGAAAGAUGCUUUUCAUUCUCAGUAAAGAACUUUGGGAGAUAACUGGGGCAGGCAGCAAGAGAACAGAUGUCAUAUGUCUAGCAUCAGCAAACUCAUCAGAACUGAUGGGCAGCUCACUUUGCUUAGAACCUGCACCAGCAUACACACGGGGCUGCUUCCCAGUCACACUGCUCCUGGGAAGGUAGGGGGGCUGCUGUUCUGCAAUUAGCGCGGUUCUUUACCUCCUAUUACCGAACUGCCAGAGUUCAUUUGUGUUCAGUUAGGUAGAUGACCAAUUCUUGUUCAUUCCUAUUUUCUUUUGCUCACUAAUGUGUUUAACGUUCACUAACCUACCAAAUGUGAUUUAUUAGCGACUUUUUCUUUGAAGAUGGAGUGGAGGAAUCCUAGCGCUUUCUGCAACAUGCUACUGCUGUUAUGGAACAGUGCAGAUAUGGAAGUGCAUCAGCCGGGGAUGGGGAGAGGCUAGGGCAGUACAUGUGAAUGGAGAGGUAGCCCCACCAGUGUGUUUUCUGAAAUACAGUCCCGCAGAGGGCAGUCUUGGGAAAUUACUGUUCUCACACACUCUUCUUGACCCUACCCCUCCAGCACCUCCCUUGCUAUCCAAGGGUUGGGAUUUUUAAAAAGAAAAACAAAUUUUAAAAAAAGCAGUGUGAAUCUUUUGCCAUCUUGUAAGGGUGAAAAGCCCCCUACCAAGUCGGGAUGAACAUUCAUGCGUGUGCUUGAGGGCUUGGGAAAAAGACAGGGCUUGGCCCCACAGUGCAGGUAGGCCCAGUGAUCCUAUAAUAGGGGCCAGGAGAUGGGAGGUCCCCUGUGGGCAGGAGUUCAAGUAUGUGGUAUUAUAUGACUGGUGCUUGAUGAACCCAGGGAGAGGGCACCAAAAACAAUGGUAUUUAAUUGUAAAAUCUCCACCCCCUGAGGAUAUGUUUUCAGGUCUGGGUGACUAAUUAGACUGGGAAACAAGGGCAGGAACGAUGGCCCUGUGCUUGCUCUGCCCGCUGCCUCUGUGGAUGUGUGGGCUGCUGGCUUCAGUCCUGCUUUUCUUUCUGAUGGUAUUGUUUAUGCUAUGUGUUUUUGCAGGAGGCCUGAGGUGGGCUGGGUUCUCCUCCUAUGGCAGGGCUUCACUCUCCUCCUCCUUCUCUGUUGGGGCUUCACUGUCCCUGGGAUAAGAAUAACAAUGCCAAGGUUUUCAUUCUUGAAAGGAGCAAUUAAGCGUCUCACCCCCUCCUCAUUUUAGAUGGGAACUGUGAGGGUCCCGUCAUUUACCCAGGGUCCCUGUUGAGGAUCUUGUCCUCAUUAGAUGACUUCUUGUGCAGCUUCCAUGCGUGAUUCUUUACUCUUGUGGCACUGAGAGGUUUGUACAUGUCUUUAAGCCAGAGCGGCUUUCUGAAUGAAAAAAGUCCAUCCUAGAAGAUAGAAAGGGAAAUAUUAAUUUUGCAUGUCCUCUGCUUUCCCUGGUCACAGCAAUGAAUCCUCCAAUGUACCUGACUCUCCCUUUGCGAAGAGCAUCUCCGUGGCAGAAAUCUGAAAAUGCCCCUGGGGAGACACAUGCACAAGACAGUUCGUGAGCCACACAUCUCCCCACACCAAGCUCCUCCAUACAAGACCUCGGACUGCAUCACGUAAAUGCUUUUUCAGGGGCAAAAUCUAGAGAAUCUGAAACGAGCUAUCAGCUUCCCAGUUUGCACAAUUCAUCAAGAAAUUAUGCGGGGUCACUGGCACAAAUGAUGAGGCAUCUCCUGGAAGCUUAACUUCUUAUCCAUCCCAUCUCUUGGACAGAUGAUGCCAGUUAAUUACUUUGAAUCCAAAAGAGACCUGCCAGCUACAGUCAGCAUCGGUCAACCAUCUGUGAAACUGUGAGCUGACAACUUGUCCCCUCCCGGCGAAGGCCACAACAUCCCAACACCAUUAGUCACCAAGGAAGUCUGGGAGAAGUUUCUACCAACUGUAGCGAAAAAGAGAAGACUCACUGGUGGCACCUGCAGCUGCGGCGUUUUCCCCAAGCUGGUCUGUGGAGAAGCCUGGGACAGAAAGAAGCAGCCAGACUCCAGAAUCCCCCAUUUUAAUAGCUAUUCUAUGCUAUGUCCCCGUCUUAUUCCUGGCAACUUACCUCUCAGCUCGUGCACUGUGACAUUACAGCAAGAAGUACUAAUAUAAAUGACACAAAAGAAAAAAGAAACCAUGAGGUUUUGCUUGUUUUAUUAACUAGGUGGGCAUUGUAAAUGUGGAGGGUGGGAAACAAUCAGGAGACAGGAAUCCGAUGAGCAUCUGCCAUGUAUCAGGCACUGCGCAAUGUUCCUUACAUACCACGAUCCCAUUUAACCCUCAAAAAACACUGCAGAGGGCUAUCACUGCCUUCCUUUUACAUACGAAAAAACAGACUUAACAGUUGCUCACGGGAAGCUGAACCAAGAAUCAAAACAAAAGACUUUCGGGCCUCAAAGACUGCACUGUUUCCACUGCACAAAGUUGUCUGCACUGUGAGCAACAGAGGAGGGGAAAGGGGACUAAAAACCAAAACCAAAAAUCCAAUAAAUAAAACAAAAUAAAUGAACUGAGCAUUCAACACAAAAAGUUAUAAGGAGCAGAGGAAAACAUUUCCAAGGAAAACAGGAAGAAGCAAAGCUUAAGAAUAAAAGCGUGACUUACACAUUUACUUGGAUCCAGGGGAAACUGUUGGGGUGAGAUGUUAAAAACAGAGUUAGGAAGUGACUGGAGAACUUGUGUAUUACAUUCCACUUCCUAUGGACCUUGGGUCCUUCUCUGUAACACUAAUAUUGGACUAAAUUCUUCAAAGUUUCCUUGCAAGGACAGGCCACUCUGAAGCUAAGGGGUUACCACCAACCAAGAGACUCCUUCAGUAAUAACACAGUAGGUAAAUUACCCCAGAAGGUAAAUAUGACUGAUUGUCUUACAGUAGCAGGUUUUAAAAUCUUGUUGUCUCAAAAGCAUUGCUAUGGGCCAGGUGCAGUGGCUCACGCCUAUA
RNAcentral lists this long non-coding RNA (4481 nucleotides) under Homo sapiens (human). RNAcentral describes it as "HSALNT0390232". The record is from RNAcentral. Lineage: Eukaryota; Metazoa; Chordata; Mammalia; Primates; Hominidae.